UAGAGAGUAAUAUAGUGGAAGUAUGGAGGGUUUUGAUCUCUUUAGUGCAGGUUCGAGUCCUGUCUUUCUAA
This 71-nucleotide transfer RNA is filed under the name Dicaeum concolor. Its description in RNAcentral is "tRNA-Gln". It matches the Rfam family "tRNA". From Rfam's summary of the family: Transfer RNA (tRNA) molecules are approximately 80 nucleotides in length. Their secondary structure includes four short double-helical elements and three loops (D, anti-codon, and T loops). The record is from RNAcentral. Lineage: Eukaryota; Metazoa; Chordata; Aves; Passeriformes; Dicaeidae.